This 478-nucleotide ribosomal RNA is filed under the name uncultured bacterium. RNAcentral's name for it is "partial 16S ribosomal RNA". It matches the Rfam family "Bacterial small subunit ribosomal RNA", at positions 28 to 523 of the family's 1533-position model. The record is from RNAcentral.
GACGAACGCUGGCGGCGUGCUUAACACAUGCAAGUCGAACGGUAAGGCCCUUCGGGGUACACGAGUGGCGAACGGGUGAGUAACUCGUGGGUGAUCUGCCCUGCACUUCGGGAUAAGCCUGGGAAACUGGGUCUAAUACCGGAUAGGACCACUGCCUACAUGGGUGGUGGUGGAAAGCGUUUGCGGUGUGGGAUGGGCCCGCGGCCUAUCAGCUUGUUGGUGGGGUGAUGGCCUACCAAGGCGACGACGGGUAGCCGGCCUGAGAGGGUGACCGGCCACACUGGGACUGAGAUACGGCCCAGACUCCUACGGGAGGCGGCAGUGGGGAAUAUUGCACAAUGGGCGCAAGCCUGAUGCAGCGACGCCGCGUGAGGGAUGACGGCCUUCGGGUUGUAAACCUCUUUCAGCAUCGACGAAGCGAAAGUGACGGUAGGUGCAGAAGAAGGACCGGCCAACUACGUGCCAGCAGCCGCAGUAA